RNAcentral lists this ribosomal RNA (457 nucleotides) under uncultured bacterium. Its description in RNAcentral is "bacterial SSU rRNA". It matches the Rfam family "Bacterial small subunit ribosomal RNA", at positions 917 to 1382 of the family's 1533-position model. The record is from RNAcentral.
GGGCCCGCACAAGCAGUGGAGCAUGUGGUUUAAUUCGAAGCUACGCGAAGAACCUUACCAGGGCUUGACAUAGUGUCUAAGACUCUAGAGAUAGAGGGAUAAUAGGUACAUACAGGUGGUGCAUGGUUGUCGUCAGCUCGUGUCGUGAGAUGUUAGGUUAAGUCCUCCAACGAGCGCAACCCUUGUCCUUAGUUGCCAGCAUUUAGUUGGGGACUCUAGGGAGACCGCCGGCGUAAGCCGGAGGAAGGUGGGGAUGACGUCAAAUCAUCAUGCUCUUUAUGUCCUGGGCGACACACGUGCUACAAUGGUCGGUACAAUGAGAUGCAAAAUCGCGAGGUAGAGCAAAUCUAUAAAGCCGAUCUCAGUUCGGAUUGGAGUCUGCAACUCGACUCCAUGAAGUCGGAAUUGCUAGUAAUCGCAAAUCAGCCAUGUUGCGGUGAAUACGUUCCCGGGCCUU